CUAGCUAUAUAUUCUGGAGACUCUCUCGUCCGUAAGUGGAGAGAACGGCGAACGAAGCGGCGAUUGCACCAUGAGAGCCAAGUGGAAGAAGAAGCGUAUGAGGAGACUAAAGAGGAAGCGCCGAAAGAUGAGACAGCGAUCCAAGUAGUCCAUUCCAUAGGACGUGUCUCAAAAUUUCUAUCUUAUGUAAUACCUUUCUAGUUUCUUGAUUUUUAAGCAGCUUCUUGAAUCAGUUUUGAACCUUUUGUGUUUUUUGCAUUUUAGUCUUGAACAAUCAUCUCAGUCUAUAUUUUGAAUUUGGUUCACUCCUAUAUCCACUAGAUGCAGUUCUGGCAAAACAGAGAUUUGGUUUUUGAAUCUUUUAACAGUUAAUC
Arabidopsis thaliana (thale cress) is the source of this 374-nucleotide non-coding RNA. Lineage: Eukaryota; Viridiplantae; Streptophyta; Magnoliopsida; Brassicales; Brassicaceae. The record is from RefSeq.